RNAcentral lists this ribosomal RNA (424 nucleotides) under uncultured bacterium. RNAcentral describes it as "partial 16S ribosomal RNA". It matches the Rfam family "Bacterial small subunit ribosomal RNA", at positions 360 to 776 of the family's 1533-position model. The record is from RNAcentral.
AAUUUUGGACAAUGGGGGAAACCCUGAUCCAGCCAUCCCGCGUGUAUGAUGAAGGNCUNNGGGUUNUNAAGUACUUUUGGCAGNNNNNAAAAGGUAUCCCCUAAUACGAGAUACUGCUGACGGUAUCUGCAGAAUAAGCACCGGCUAACUACGUGCCAGCAGCCGCGGUAAUACAGAGGGUGCAAGCGUUAAUCGGAAUUACUGGGCGUAAAGCGAGCGUAGGUGGUUUGUUAAGUUGGAAGUGAAAGCCCCGGGCUCAACCUGGGAACUGCAUUUUUAACUGCCGAGCUAGAGUAUGUCAGAGGGGGGUAGAAUUCCACGUGUAGCAGUGAAAUGCGUAGAUAUGUGGAGGAAUACCGAUGGCGAAGGCAGCCCCCUGGGAUAAUACUGACGCUCAGACACGAAAGCGUGGGGAGCAAACAGG